UACAGAGGUCUCAAGCGUUGCUCGGAUUCAUUGGGCGUAAAGGGCGCGUAGGCUGCGGGGCAAGUCGGGUGUGAAAUCUCAGAGCUCAACUCUGAAACUGCACUCGAUACUGCUUUGCUCGAGGACUGGAGAGGAGAUUGGAAUUCACGGUGUAGCAGUGAAAUGCGUAGAUAUCUGGAGGAACACCGGUGGCGAAGGCGGCGUUCUGGACUGCAACUGACACUGAGAGACGAAAGCCAGGGGAGCAAACGGG
RNAcentral lists this ribosomal RNA (253 nucleotides) under uncultured bacterium. Its description in RNAcentral is "partial 16S ribosomal RNA". It matches the Rfam family "Bacterial small subunit ribosomal RNA", at positions 524 to 776 of the family's 1533-position model. The record is from RNAcentral.